RNAcentral lists this ribosomal RNA (486 nucleotides) under uncultured bacterium. RNAcentral describes it as "partial 16S ribosomal RNA". It matches the Rfam family "Bacterial small subunit ribosomal RNA", at positions 28 to 523 of the family's 1533-position model. The record is from RNAcentral.
GACGAACGCUGGCGGCGUGCUUAACACAUGCAAGUCGAACGGUGAAGGACGGAGCUUGCUCCGACCGGAUCAGUGGCGAACGGGUGAGUAACACGUGAGUAACCUGCCCCAGACUCUGGAAUAACCCCGGGAAACCGGAGCUAAUACCGGAUACGAGACGGAGAGGCAUCUCUACCGUCUGGAAAGUUUUUCGGUCUGGGAUGGAUUCGCGGCCUAUCAGCUAGUUGGUGGGGUAAUGGCUCACCAAGGCGACGACGGGUAGCCGGCCUGAGAGGGCGACCGGCCACACUGGGACUGGGACACGGCCCAGACUCCUACGGGAGGCAGCAGUGGGGAAUAUUGCACAAUGGGCGAAAGCCUGAUGCAGCGACGCCGCGUGGGGGAUGACGGCCUUCGGGUUGUAAACCUCUUUCAGCAGGGAAGAAGCGAAAGUGACGGUACCUGCAGAAAAAGGACCGGCUAACUACGUGCCAGCAGCCGCCGUAA